UAUUGGGCGUAAGCGCGCGCAGGCGGUUUCUUAAGUCUGAUGUGAAAGCCCACCGCUCAACCGUGGAGGGUCAUUGGAAACUGGGGAACUUGAGCGCAGAAGAGAAAAGCGGAAUUCCACGUGUAGCGGUGAAAUGCGUAGAGAUGUGGAGGAACACCAGUGGCGAAGGCGGCCUUUUGGUCUGUAACUGACGUUGAGGCGCGAAAGCGUGGGGA
This 215-nucleotide ribosomal RNA is filed under the name Pseudomonas fluorescens. RNAcentral's name for it is "partial 16S ribosomal RNA". It matches the Rfam family "Bacterial small subunit ribosomal RNA", at positions 552 to 767 of the family's 1533-position model. The record is from RNAcentral. Lineage: Bacteria; Pseudomonadati; Pseudomonadota; Gammaproteobacteria; Pseudomonadales; Pseudomonadaceae.